Unclassified non-coding RNA from Aotus nancymaae (Ma's night monkey), 300 nucleotides. It matches the Rfam family "Metazoan signal recognition particle RNA". From Rfam's summary of the family: The signal recognition particle (SRP) is a universally conserved ribonucleoprotein. It is involved in the co-translational targeting of proteins to membranes. Lineage: Eukaryota; Metazoa; Chordata; Mammalia; Primates; Aotidae. The record is from Ensembl.
GCCAGGUGUGGUGGCACAUGCCUGUAGUCCCAGCUACUCGGGAGGCUGAGGCUGGAGGAUUGCUUGAGUCCAAGAGUUCUGGGCUGUCAUGUGAUAUGUCGAUCGGGUGUCUGCACUAAGUUGGGCAUCAAUAUGGUGACCUCCCGGGGGCGGGGGACCACCAGGUUGCUUAAGAAGAGGUGAACUGGCCCAGGUUGGAAAUGGAGCCGGUCAAAACUCGCAUGCUGAUCAGUUGUGGGAUCGUGCCAGUGACUAGCCACUGCACUCCAGCCUGGGCAACAUCGUAAGACCCCCAUCUCU